GUAGGGGGCAAGCGUUGUCCGGAUUUAUUGGGCGUAAAGCGCUCGCAGGUGGUUCGUUGCGUCGUGCGUGAAAGACCCCGGCUCAACUGGGGGGUGUCGUGCGAUACGGGCGAACUGGAGGCCAGUAGGGGGAUGCGGAAUUCCGGGUGUAGUGGUGGGAUGCGUAGAGAUCCGGAGGAAUACUAGUGGCGAAGGUGGUAUUCUGGAUUGGUCCUGAUACUCAGGAGCGAAAGCGUGGGGAGCGAUCCGGAUUAGAUACCCGGGUAGUCCACGCUGUAAACGAUGAGUACUAGGUGUCGGGGGUAUCGACCCUUUCGGUGUCGCAGCUAACGCGAUAAGUAUUCCGCCUGGGGACUACGGCCGCAAGGCUA
RNAcentral lists this ribosomal RNA (371 nucleotides) under uncultured bacterium. Its description in RNAcentral is "bacterial SSU rRNA". It matches the Rfam family "Bacterial small subunit ribosomal RNA", at positions 527 to 896 of the family's 1533-position model. The record is from RNAcentral.